Molecule: ribosomal RNA, 725 nt
Filed under: uncultured bacterium
Lineage: Bacteria
Description: bacterial SSU rRNA
Rfam family: Bacterial small subunit ribosomal RNA
Source: RNAcentral
UUUCGACGACCGCUGGCGGCAGGCCUAACACAUGCAAGUCGAGCGCACCUCUUCGGAGGUGAGCGGCGCACGGGUGAGUAACGCGUGGGAACCUACCCUGGGGUAGGGGAUAACCGCUGGAAACGGCGGCUAAUACCCUAUACGUCCUUCGGGAGAAAGAUUUAUCGCCCUGGGAUGGGCCCGCGUCGGAUUAGCUAGUUGGUGGGGUAAAGGCUCACCAAGGCGACGAUCCGUAGCUGGUCUGAGAGGAUGAUCAGCCACACUGGGACUGAGACACGGCCCAGACUCCUACGGGAGGCAGCAGUGGGGAAUAUUGGACAAUGGGCGCAAGCCUGAUCCAGCCAUGCCGCGUGAGUGAAGAAGGCCUUAGGGUUGUAAAGCUCUUUCACCCGCGAAGAUGAUGACGGUAGCGGGAGAAGAAGCCCCGGCUAACUCCGUGCCAGCAGCCGCGGUAAUACGGAGGGGGCAAGCGUUGUUCGGAUUUACUGGGCGUAAAGGGCGCGUAGGCGGAUGUUCUUGUCAGAGGUGAAAGCCCCGGGCUCAACCUGGGAAUUGCCUUUGAAACGGGACGUCUGGAGUUCGGAAGAGGGUAGCGGAAUUCCCAGUGUAGAGGUGAAAUUCGUAGAUAUUGGGAAGAACACCAGUAGCGAAGGCGGCUACCUGGUCCGACACUGACCCUGAGGCGCGAAAGCGUUGGGGAGCAAACAGGAUUAGAUACCCUGGUA